CGAACAGGAUUAGAUACCCUGGUAGUCCACGCCCUAAACGAUGAGAACUGGCCGUUGGGGGGGUGAUACCCUUUAGUGGCGAAGCUAACGCGUUAAGUUCUCCGCCUGGGGAGUACGGCCGCAAGGUUAAAACUCAAAUGAAUUGACGGGGGCCCGCACAAGCGGUGGAGCAUGUGGUUUAAUUCGAUGCAACGCGAAGAACCUUACCUGCCCUUGACAUCUGGGGAACCCUGCAGAGAUGCGGGGGUGCCUUCGGGAACCCCAAGACAGGUGCUGCAUGGCUGUCGUCAGCUCGUGUCGUGAGAUGUUGGGUUAAGUCCCGUAACGAGCGCAACCCUUGUCGCCAGUUGCCAGCGGUUUGGCCGGGCACUUUGGCGAGACUGCCGGCGAUAAGCCGGAGGAAGGCGGGGAUGACGUCAAGUCAUCAUGGCCCUUAUGGGCAGGGCGACACACGUGCUACAAUGGCCGGUACAGAGGGUUGCCAAGCCGUGAGGUGGAGCCAAUCCCAGAAAGCCGGUCGUAGUUCGGAUUGGAGGCUGCAACUCGCCUCCAUGAAGCCGGAAUCGCUAGUAAUCGCGGAUCAGCCAUGCCGCGGUGAAUACGUUCCCGGGCCUUGUACACACCGCCCGUCACACCAUGGGAGUCGGCUGCACCAGAAGCCGGUGGCCUAACUCAUUUUGAGGGGGUGCCGUCCACGGUGUGGUCGAUGACUGGGGUGAAGUCGUAACAAGGUAGCCGUA
RNAcentral lists this ribosomal RNA (740 nucleotides) under uncultured bacterium. RNAcentral's name for it is "bacterial SSU rRNA". It matches the Rfam family "Bacterial small subunit ribosomal RNA", at positions 769 to 1504 of the family's 1533-position model. The record is from RNAcentral.